AGAUCCUCUCCAUUUCAAAGUGAAAUGGAGAGCGUCCAGUUCACGGUGGAGAUUUUUUUUAAAAUGAUCCACGUUCAUAAACGCGCCACGUCAUAGCUUUACCCACUAAACCCAAACCACACUUAACUACGCUUAAACUAGAGACUCUUUUAACUUAACCUGAUCCUUCAGCUACCCAAAAAAGCAAAUAACUCCCUCUUCCUUCAGAUCUUUCUCUACCCAAAAUUCAAAAACUCUCUCACACCAUUGCCCAAUCUCCAUGGCUACAGCUAGCAGCCACUGCGUCCCACACCUUCACUAUCGGCGAAGUUCCGGUACAUUCCUGUCUCUCUCCUUCGGCCGCUGGAGGUGUUAUCGUCGGUGCCACCACCACUGGUGGUCGUCGGUUCAUUUUAAAGAUAUAAACUGUGGCUCUUGAUAGGUAAUGAGGUGUUAGAAGUUGACAGUAAGAAUGUAAAAGCUCUGUACAGUGGUAUGGUUGAAUGGCAUGAUUAAAUGGAUGCUAUACCCAAUAUGGGAAGCUGCUGCCGUUGAUGAAUGGUUAUACAAUGGCGGUCCUUAUGAGCUAAUUGUUCUACCACCAAGAGCGAGAAAAGGCAGCUGUUGGAGGUGGAGGGGGAUUAGUGCUAAAUUUUAGAUUGUUUUUUGUUAGUGUAGACCACAUGUUCUCACUCUUGUAUAAGUUCUUUAUACAAGUUCUACCAUUUUGGUGAAAUCUUGUAGAAAAUAUAUGUUUUGGAUAUAUGUAGAAACUUUGUUAAGUUAGUGUGUGUGCUGUGCUUAGUAGUGUGUGGGUGGUGCCUAGUAGUGUGAUGAGGUGUGCCUGUUGUGGUGAUAAAGGGUGUGUGUACUUGGCUAUAUUGAGGCAUGUGCAGUGCAGGUGCAUGAUGUGAAGCUUAGUAAGUGAUUAGAUAGUGAGAGUUAUACAAAAAAGAGUAACCAUGUCGCCAGGAAGCUUGAGAAGCAUCAGCAAGGUCGUACACUUGAUGCACAUAUCAAAGAGCAGUUUGGGGGCGGUAGGCUGUUGGCAUGCAUCUCUUCUCGACCAGGACAAUGUGGUAGAUCUGAUGGAUACAUUUUGGAAGGAAAAGAACUUGAGUUCUGUAUGAAGAAGAUCCAAAGGAAGAAGGGGAAGGGUGCCGCAGCUUAAGUAGUUUAUUAGUCAUAGUUUUGGUCUUUUUGCAACUUGUUUUUGUUACACCUGCCUAGAUGGGCCAAUGUUUAUCAUUAUUGAUGGAUCUCUGAAGAUUUUGUGGCAUGUUUAGUUGUUUCAAAUUAGAUGCUUUAGCUAGUUUGUGAUUGACAAGAGUCAGACUUGAGCUAAAAUAGCACUUGUUGGGUGCUGCCCUCUUUAUCCAUCAUUCUCUUGUAGUAGAAUUUCUUUUUAUUUUUAUAGCUGUGCUCUUUUCAUGGUA
This is a long non-coding RNA of Quercus lobata, 1415 nucleotides long. RefSeq lists it as uncharacterized. NCBI's taxonomy places the organism in Eukaryota, Viridiplantae, Streptophyta, Magnoliopsida, Fagales, Fagaceae. The record is from RefSeq and is a predicted model, not a curated record. The transcript is spliced from 5 exons.